GGUUAACCGAAUAGGGGAGCCGAAGGGAAACCGAGUCUUAACUGGGCGUUAAGUUGCAGGGUAUAGACCCGAAACCCGGUGAUCUAGCCAUGGGCAGGUUGAAGGUUGGGUAACACUAACUGGAGGACCGAACCGACUAAUGUUGAAAAAUUAGCGGAUGACUUGUGGCUGGGGGUGAAAGGCCAAUCAAACCGGGAGAUAGCUGGUUCUCCCCGAAAGCUAUUUAGGUAGCGCCUCGUGAAUUCAUCUCCGGGGGUAGAGCACUGUUUCGGCUAGGGGGCCAUCCCGGCUUACCAACCCGAUGCAAACUGCGAAUACCGGAGAAUGUUAUCACGGGAGACACACGGCGGGUGCUAACGUCCGUCGUGAAGAGGGAAACAACCCAGACCGCCAGCUAAGGUCCCAAAGUCAUGGUUAAGUGGGAAACGAUGUGGGAAGGCUCAGACAGCCAGGAUGUUGGCUUAGAAGCAGCCAUCAUUUAAAGAAAGCGUAAUAGCUCACUGGUCGAGUCGGCCUGCGCGGAAGAUGUAACGGGGCUAAACCAUGCACCGAAGCUGCGGCAGCGACACUAAGUGUUGUUGGGUAGGGGAGCGUUCUGUAAGCCUGUGAAGGUGUGCUGUGAGGCAUGCUGGAGGUAUCAGAAGUGCGAAUGCUGACAUAAGUAACGAUAAAGCGGGUGAAAAGCCCGCUCGCCGGAAGACCAAGGGUUCCUGUCCAACGUUAAUCGGGGCAGGGUGAGUCGACCCCUAAGGCGAGGCCGAAAGGCGUAGUCGAUGGGAAACAGGUUAAUAUUCCUGUACCAGGUGUUACUGCGAAGGGGGGACGGAGAAGGCUAUGUUGGCCGGGCGACGGUUGUCCCGGUUUAAGCGUGUAGGUGUGUGUUCCAGGUAAAUCCGGUUCACUUUAACACUGAGGCGUGAUGACGAGGCACUACGGUGCUGAAGUGACAAAUGCCCUGCUUCCAGGAAAAGCCUCUAAGCAUCAGGUAACAUCAGAUCGUACCCCAAACCGACACAGGUGGUCAGGUAGAGAAUACCAAGGCGCUUGAGAGAACUCGGGUGAAGGAACUAGGCAAAAUGGUGCCGUAACUUCGGGAGAAGGCACGCUGAUAUGUAGGUGAAGCGAUUUACUCGUGGAGCUGAAAUCAGUCGAAGAUACCAGCUGGCUGCAACUGUUUAUUAAAAACACAGCACUGUGCAAACACGAAAGUGGACGUAUACGGUGUGACGCCUGCCCGGUGCCGGAAGGUUAAUUGAUGGGGUUAUCCGUAAGGAGAAGCUCUUGAUCGAAGCCCCGGUAAACGGCGGCCGUAACUAUAACGGUCCUAAGGUAGCGAAAUUCCUUGUCGGGUAAGUUCCGACCUGCACGAAUGGCGUAAUGAUGGCCAGGCUGUCUCCACCCGAGACUCAGUGAAAUUGAACUCGCUGUGAAGAUGCAGUGUACCCGCGGCAAGACGGAAAGACCCCGUGAACCUUUACUAUAGCUUGACACUGAACACUGGUCCUUGAUGUGUAGGAUAGGUGGGAGGCUUUGAAGCGCGGACGCCAGUUCGUGUGGAGCCAUCCUUGAAAUACCACCCUUUAAUGGCUGGUGUUCUAACGUGGGCCCGUAAUCCGGGUUGCGGACAGUGUCUGGUGGGUAGUUUGACUGGGGCGGUCUCCUCCUAAAGAGUAACGGAGGAGCACGAAGGUUAGCUAAUCCUGGUCGGACAUCAGGAGGUUAGUGCAAAGGCAUAAGCUAGCUUGACUGCGAGCGUGACGGCGCGAGCAGGUGCGAAAGCAGGUCUUAGUGAUCCGGUGGUUCUGAAUGGAAGGGCCAUCGCUCAACGGAUAAAAGGUACUCCGGGGAUAACAGGCUGAUACCGCCCAAGAGUUCAUAUCGACGGCGGUGUUUGGCACCUCGAUGUCGGCUCAUCACAUCCUGGGGCUGAAGUAGGUCCCAAGGGUAUGGCUGUUCGCCAUUUAAAGUGGUACGCGAGCUGGGUUUAGAACGUCGUGAGACAGUUCGGUCCCUAUCUGCCGUGGGCGCUGGAGAAUUGAGGGGGGCUGCUCCUAGUACGAGAGGACCGGAGUGGACGCAUCACUGGUGUUCGGGUUGUCAUGCCAAUGGCACUGCCCGGUAGCUAAAUGCGGAAGAGAUAAGUGCUGAAAGCAUCUAAGCACGAAACUUGCCCCGAGAUGAGUUCUCCCUGACCCUUUAAGGGUCCUGAAGGAACGUUGAAGACGACGACGUUGAUAGGCCGGGUGUGUAAGCGCAGCGAUGCGUUGAGCUAACCGGUACUAAUGAACCGUGAGGCUUAACCUU
Molecule: ribosomal RNA, 2304 nt
Filed under: Citrobacter sp. Ca226
Lineage: Bacteria; Pseudomonadati; Pseudomonadota; Gammaproteobacteria; Enterobacterales; Enterobacteriaceae
Description: partial 23S ribosomal RNA
Rfam family: Bacterial large subunit ribosomal RNA
Source: RNAcentral